ACUUUACAUAAUAUUCACAAACCAUGUUAAAUUAUGUAAAGUGUUUUAGAGAUAAAUUUAAAUUUUCAAUUUUCUUAAAACAAAUCGGGCUAAGGCCCACAAGCAAACAAACCCAGCUACGAGGAGAAAGAAGACGAUGAAUUGUCUGGAACAACGCCGCGCGCCGCCGCCGCCGCCUCCGCCUCGUUUCUCCCACCUGAGAAGAUGCUUAAGUUUCCUCAUCUGAACAUCACCAACAACUCUCCCUCCAGCAAGUAACUUCCAAAGAGACCAAUAAAAACCCUCUUAACCAAAAAACCACCUUCUCCGAUGAUCUACGGGAGAGUUGACGGUCAGUGCUCCUACAGCUCCUACGCUUUCAAGGGUCAGGCGGUCAAAAAA
Molecule: unclassified non-coding RNA, 381 nt
Filed under: Hevea brasiliensis (rubber tree)
Lineage: Eukaryota; Viridiplantae; Streptophyta; Magnoliopsida; Malpighiales; Euphorbiaceae
Source: RNAcentral